This is an RNA transcript of Rhea pennata, 7735 nucleotides long. It is a transcript of the gene named protein phosphatase 1 regulatory subunit 16B, with no coding region annotated. The transcript has 12 exons. The record is from RefSeq and is a predicted model, not a curated record. NCBI's taxonomy places the organism in Eukaryota, Metazoa, Chordata, Aves, Rheiformes, Rheidae.
GGGGGGGCGUUUCGCGUGUCAGCACCGACCGCAAUCACGACGCAGAGUUUCGGUAACUCCAGCCCUGUGCAACGCUAGAGCAGGCUGGGUUCCACUGUAUUCUCAGCAGACGCUGCAAUGGACCAUUCAGAGCUUGGCCCCAAGAUACUGGUAUAGUGCCAGGCAGCUGCAAUCCAGAGGGCCUGCCAUAGGACAUCAUUUCUAGCAUCUCUCCUCUCUCAGCUAAAAUGAUGGAUGCCCACGUGGAUCUCCUGACAGAGCUUCAGCUGCUGGAUAAGGUGCCCACCUUGGAGAGGCUGCGGGCAGCCCAAAAACGGAGGGCUCAACAGCUGAAGAAGUGGGCACAGUAUGAGAAAGAGAUGCAGCACAAGAAGCGGAAGCAUGAGAAGAGAAGAAGUGCUGUUAACAGGAAGAAAGUAUCUUUUGAAGCCAGUGUUGCUCUACUGGAGGCUUCUCUGAGGAAUGACUUAGAGGAAGUGUGUUACCUACUGAAGAGCAAUAUUAGCCCGGACCUGUGCAAUGAAGAUGGAUUAACUGCACUGCAUCAGUGCUGCAUAGACAACUAUGAAGAGAUAGUCAAGAUUCUCCUCAACCAUGGGGCCAAUGUCAACGCCAAGGACAACGAGCUAUGGACUCCAUUGCAUGCAGCAGCUACUUGUGGUCAUAUCAACCUGGUGAAGAUCCUAAUCCAGCAUGGAGCAGACUUAUUGGCAGUAAACGCAGAUGGCAACAUGCCAUAUGACCUCUGUGAAGAUGAGCCAACCCUGGAUGUCAUUGAGACUUGCAUGGCAUAUCAAGGAAUUACACAAGAAAAAAUCAAUGAGAUGCGGGCCGCUCCAGAGCAGGUCAUGAUCUGCGACAUCCAUGACAUACUGGCAACUGGAGAGGACCUGAACAGGACUGAUGCCCAAGGUGCUACACUGCUCCAUAUAGCUGCAGCCAAUGGUUACCUUCAUGCAGCUGAAGUCCUCCUUGACCAGGGCGCAAGCCUGGAUGUUAAGGACUGGGAUGGCUGGGAACCUCUCCAUGCUGCUGCUUUUUGGGGCCAGAUGCAAAUGGCUGAGUUGCUUGUAUCCCAUGGAGCCAGUUUGAGUGCCAGGACAUCUUUGGAUGAGAUGCCAAUAGAUCUAUGUGAAGAAGAGGAGUUCAAAGUCUUACUUCUGGAGCUGAAACAUAAGCAUGAUGUGAUCAUGAAAUCUCAGAUGAGGCAUAAAUCCUCCCUGAGCCGAAGGACCUCUAGCACUGGCAGCCGGGGGAAGGUGGUGAGGAGGGCCAGUCUUUCGGACCGAACAAACCUAUACAGGAAGGAGUGCGAGAAAGAAGCCAUCGUCUGGCAGCAGAUGGGGGCAGCAGAAGAACAAAGGAACUCAGGCCUCAUUGGAGAAAUUGGGGAGACUCGGUCCGACCAGGAGAAUACAGACCCCAAUUCAGUGCUGGAGAACUCUUCCCUUCUUCCUGAGUUAGCAAACAAAAGCACCCAGUGUGACUCGGAAAUCCCCCUCCAGAACGGACUCAGGGCGUCUGCCAGUGCUUACCAGUACACCUUUUCCAAUGGGGACAUUUGGAAUAUGCAUGCUGACCCCGACAGUAAUCCAGGCCACAUGCUGCCCUAUGGCAACCCGGGGCUCCCUGACACACAGCAGCUGUGGGGUGCCUACAAGGAGCACAGCCAUCAAACGCUCUCUGAACUCAAGCGGCAGCGGGCUGCAGCCAAGCUCCUCAAUCACCCUUUCCUCAGCACCCACUUUGGCAGUGGCAUGGGAGGUGUAGCCGAGAAUGGGAGUGAGGCCAAGUCACACCUGAUCGGAUCCAGGACUUCUCCCUACAGCACCAAUGGGACCUCAGUGUAUUACACAGUGGCCAGUGGUGAUCCCCCCCUUUUGAAAUUCAAAGCUCCCAUGGAGGAAAUGGAAGAGAAGGUGCAUGGGUGCUGCAGAAUUUCCUAGUCUCACCUGUUACUCAUCCUAGAGGAAACCCGACGUGGGUGGGCUGGUUGGGUCUGUUGCAGAGGCCGGGUUGUUUGCAUUCCAAGGGCAGAAUUUGGUUACGGACAUCACAACUGCAGCAGCCUUGUUCAUUUUGAAUUGUACUUUACCCUGCCAAUUACUUCCAUUGCGGUUGAAUGAGUAUUGCAGGUGGAACAAGGCUCAUAGGAGAGGAAUGGAUGCACAUCAGUACAAUGCAAGAAGAGCCACCCUCAUCAUGCUUCCUGGGGAAGAAGGUACGGUACACUGCCUCCCCAUCCUUGGAAAGUCGUGAGAUGGCUUGAAAAGAAGAAAUGGCUUGAAUUAAAAUCUUUGCAUCUGAGCCUCUUGCUGUAAGCCAACAAGCUUCUGGAAGGUGACAGUUCAGACCUCAUUUUCACUCUUGGGUGCAAUGCAGAUAUCCCUGGAAUGGAGGUCAGCCCCCAUGCAGGGUUUGCAAGAAAGGACUGAGCUGUUGUCUGUGCAGCUGGAUCCAAAACUUACCAGGGGCUGAGCAAUGAGCAAGUGUAGAUACUGCGUUUGCUUUAGGAAGUCCGCAAGGUGGUGUCUCCUCGCAGUGACAGCUCACCUUUAAAAACUGUGCACUGGCUAGGUCCUGUUCCGCUCAUGUAAAUCGGUCACUGAAGACUGUCAUCAAGUUUUUAAGCAGAAUCCUUCAUGGAACAGGCAUCACUGAACAGGCUUUAAAACUGAUGUUGCAAUAAGGGGGCCUGGCAAUAGAAUUUUACUGCAAUAAAAUACUGACAAAGGCUCAGCACAGACACCUGGAACAGUAUGCUUUGUGUUCUGAUUUUUCUGGAUUUCCAGAACCACAGGGCUUGGGAGGGAUGAGGAAAAAAGACUUGCCUACACUAAUCUAGAAAUGUCAUGAAAGCGUUUCUAAUCUCCCUAGAUUUAAUGGCACUCCUGUGUUAACCUGCAUUCUUUGGCUGAUAGACAGGUAACUUAAAUCAUCACGUUGAUGGUUGAACAUUGCAGCAGGGCAGAGAUUGGAUUUUUUUGUUUGUUUUUCCAGUUUUCAUGCUGAAUUCAUCAGCAGUGUCAGAACAAGGCUUAAAGGCCUCCGUAUAUUGCGUACAUAAGAGAGUCGAACUCCCUUUCUGAGUGAAAGCCAAGCACAAUGCAGUAGUCACAAGGCUACUGCGGGAGAGAGGUUGACAUGCGAACACCAGUGUUUUAACACAGCCUGCGUGAACCCUGACAGCCUACCUGAGAAACGCUCGUGCGGUGUAGCAUGGGGUCUUGGCGCUGGCUCUUCAGGAAGUUAAGUCUGCAUACAAGAGGGAGGUAAACGGAGAGUCCCCUUGGGAGGCAGCUCAGAGGAACUGGCCACAGUUGAUUUAACCAGUUGUAUCUACAGAAGUAUUUGUAAUUCUUCAAACCUUUUUCUGCACAGAGGAGCUUUUGCACACAUAACUAUUUGCUUGCAUGAAUAUGUGUUGUCUUGGGCAGUUUAAAUCCCAAAGUUGGGAAACAUAAGCCUGUUUUGUGUCUGUGUAAGCCAAGUUCUGCUCACAGAGGUGUAGUUGUGCUUCAGCUAAGGAACAGAAAAAUGCAGCUUCCACUCAUCUUCCUGUUAGCUGGCAGCUAGACAUCAGUAUUACCUGUUCCUUUGAAAAGAAUUCACACAUAUAUUCUCUUUCUAGGAAUCCUUACAUCAUUUCCUUUUCUUUCUAGGCCAUAAAAUUUUUUUUAGGCUAAAAGGAACUGUUAAUUGCCACCCUCCACUCCCCAUCAACUAGAAACAUUGUUCCAUCGGUAAAGGUCUAGUCAAGGGUAUAAGCAAUGUGUAAGAGAGAUAGGAACCAGUCUGCAAUCCUAUGAGGAAAAGGAAGUGAAGGAGCAGGGAGACCAUUCUCUCUGAAAAGUGUUUUGGGCAGGUGUCUGCAGAGGAAUACCCACUCCUUAGCUUACAUUACAGCUGAGCUUGGCUGUGAGAUCGAGCCUGGCUCUGAAGCUGGCUCUCAGGCAGGGAUCUGGGCCCCUCCUUUAAAGCAGAUCCUUCAGGCAGCAGAGAUAAGUCACCACAAAAACCAAAUACUUUGGGGUCUUUGAGGUUAUUACCAAGCUGAUAGUUUAUUGUUUCAAGUUCUAAGGCUACAAUUCCCUUCCCUUAUCUGUUUUUGGAACAAAUUAGAAAAGUGGUAGCAUCUUGUCUGAUUUUUAAAUCCUCAGUUUAGUUAAAGGCAGGAGGUUCCUUUACAUCUUUUGAAACAUUCAGAGAAAGUGAGCCUUCUCUGACACAUACUUAGGUAGCUUGCUUAACACCUUUGUCCCAUCUGACUAAUCUCUUGGUUUCUGCUGAUCUGUACAAGUUGCCACUCUGUCGUUCCAUUAUUCAAACCCAUAUAUUAAACUUGAAAAUACUUCCUGUGCUUUACUGAACCUCGGUGGAAUUACAGUCACUCUCUAGUUGAAAUAAGUUGAUUUGGUAGCUGGAGACUUUACAGCAUCUAAGGUGGUCUGUGUGUAGUUAAGAGUGGGUCUUGUGAUUGUCUUAAAGAAAAUUCUUCUGGAAUAAUACCAGGUGUAGCCUAGGUGCUGCUGAAUAAGCGAAGAUGAUCUUUUGUAUGCCUCCCUUUUCCCAUGGUGUUGGAGGUAGUCUUUCCAGGUUCCAUCCUAAUGAGAAUUUGGGAGUCAGCAUAACAACCUUUGGUGCUGCCGUCCACUAGGUUUUAAGUGGUGCAAAAUUUGGGCCCAGCUGAUGCCUUCCCUACUAGGGAUAGGAGGAGUCAGACCCUUUUCCUUCUCAGAGCAAUUUUGUGCUAUUAAAUAUGAUGAAUCUUACAUAUCUCCAAGCCGAUGAAAAGCAGGGAGUCGAAUGCAAUCGUGUGAGGUAGUUUGAGGCUUGCAUUCCCUGCAAGUAGCUAAUAUGUUAAAAAUGCAUGAAGCCAGUCUGUUUUAGGCAAAUAGCUUUUAUUUUUAUCAGUAUUUCACUUUAUUUAUAUGUAAAAGGAAUUCAUUAUUCUAGCUGUGAUCUUGAGUGAAGUAACAAUUGAUUUACAGUCAGAGGAAGGAUGCUACAGGUUCUAGGUUAUAAAAUGUCCCUGUAAUUGGACUGUUAUAUUGUGACUGUAAAUUGGCAGUAAUAUAUCUCUUCUAGCUUUAUCUCUAUAAGCUAACAUGCUGUAGUGGUGUCUGAUCAAAUGCAAAUGAUUCUUACUCAGAAAGGUCAGUAACUGAUAAAUAUUCCAGGAUAUGUUUCAUAGCAAAGACAACUGAUUAUUUACCAUUGGCUUUGGUUUGGAAGUUGCAUCCAAGUGGGAUUUCCAAAGAUUGCUGAAGGCCACCCAAAAUGGACUGAUGCUUUUCCUCCUUAUGUGUGGGUGACAUUCUGAAUAUAAUGGUCACUGCCUGUGGGAUACUGGCAGAUAAUGGUCAGGGAAAGAACUGACAAUUUAUGGUGCAUGAAGUUGUUGGUAGUAGGUCAGGGAUGAGCAAUUCUGUAAAAAAAAAUUUAACUUGCCUCUGGUUAACUAUCUUAUAGAGACAAACAAGCUUUUGGGGGGCAUGAUAAAUGCGCAGAUGCUCUUAUAUGUGCAUUGUAGGAGCCCACCUGUAGGAACAGGGCUUCUUAUUACAAAAUUUAGCACUACUACUAUAACUACAAUGCUUUCAUAUCCAUGCAUUUUAAACAAGGCCAUCCUGGUGGAAAGUUCUGAGGUACAUAGCAGAAGACAGUCAGCUAGUUUACUGGAGCUCUUAAAAUUGUUAAAAAGUUGUGGAAGCUAGAAAAGAUGUGAUUGCCAUAUAUAGCACUUUUAUAUAGCACAUUUGGAUGUUGUGACAGUUGCCCUAUUAAGCACUGUAGGCAGAUCUGCACACAGGAACAACCCUACUGCUUGAAAAAUCUUCUUAUAUGCUGAAGUCAUAGUGUUUCUAGCAAACUAACUGGUUGAUGAGAGCAGCUUUACUUUCCAUGUUGAAAAACUUUAUUCAGAUGCAGAACAGUGUCUCUCAAACUAGCGUCUCUGCUUUACUGAGCUCCACCAAGGAAGUCCCAGCAGUAAAUCGUUAGACAGGGGCUUAAGUACGGUUGCUGGGAUCUGUUUGGCUUCAGACCUAUGUCUGUAUUUCACAUACCAAGUGAUGCAAUUUUAGUUUGUCUCACUUCUGUGGUGCUCCAGGACCUGAAAACCCUCUGCAUUUUGGAAAGAAUUGUCUCUAGCUGAUGUGACUUGUAGAUGUGAUGACACAUGGUUGGGAAACUCCUGCUAUAGAAGGAGGAGAAGAGCAUAGCAGGAAAUAGCAAUAACAAAUCAGGGCAAUACCCAGUAGAUGCAGUGAAUUCUUUAGUAUACCAAGCAAGGGGUUAUUUCAUGGGGUUGCAGAUGCGAGCACUUAUGUCCCAAAUUUCCAUUUGGCAGAUUGAUUUCUGUGCACUGUCCUUUUUUGAUCUAAUGUUGGAUCUCUGUUUCCCCUCUUUCUUCUAAGCUGAAACAAAAUCAGCAAUACCACGAAAUAAGAAUAUCUUACCGGAGAAAGCAAUGGGACUGGUUUCUAGUGAGCCACAGUAGAUCAGCUGUUGUCUAUUUACUGCAAGGUGUGCUCCCUCUGUCUGGAUAUAGCUGUGCCUUACUGUAUUUGCUAAAAAUAGCUCAGUGGCUAGUCUCUGAAAUUUUUGUGGUGACUAUACAAUGCUGUUUUGAAUUUUACUAUUAUUUUGCAAAGGGAAAACUGUUCACAGCAUGUUGUAUUUUGCAAAUUUGAUUUGCUCUUUCAUUUCUCUCAUGAUCACCGUUUCUCUCUUCCUAUGCUACAGACACUCCCAAUGCAAAAGACUUCAUCCUAAUUUAACAAACCGCAUUGACCAACGUUGUUGCAGCAGUUCUCUGCUGGCAGGGUCCAGAGCACACUAGCAGUAGCAAGAGCUAGCUUGUUGCUGCAGAACGUGGUUAAUAUUUAGAUUUUUUUUGCGGGGGGGAGGGGGGGUUGUCUGUGGCCAUAUGAUGGUAGUUCCUGGCUUUCUUCAGCUUUACAUAUUGGUCAGACUUAAGAUGGACUUGUUGGGCCUCUUACAUGAUUCAAGUAGUACUGAGAUCUUUUGUCAACAUCCACCACAGCAAAACAAGAACUUGGAAUAUUUUGCUGCAUUUCAAGUGUGGAAGCUCUCGUAGAGGAGACAGUGCUCAAGACACCAGUUCCCAAGUCUACACCAAUACAAUUAUCUCUACCUGCAACUGGGGGAAAAAACAUAGGUUUGGGGGGUAAAUGCAGCCUUAGCAUAGCCACUUCUGACUCCUCAGCCCACAGAUUGCAGUGCUUGCUUCCCUGUGAGAGGGGGGAGAAUGAAUUACAGUGUUUGUAGCCCUUGUACAGCUAUGUUAGACUGCUGCAUAGCCAGGAUAUUUAAAAAUGGUGGCAAGCCCUCUGCAAUAAUUCAUAAUUCCAUCGAUCGGUAGUAAAUGAUGUACAAAUAAAACUUGAUGAAAUGUAUUUUAUGUGAAAAAAAUAAUGUAAGAACUGUAUAUUGUAUUAGCAGCUUUGUGUAUAAAAUGGCAUUUUGGCAAUCAGAGUCUAAUAUAUUUAAAACUUUUUUUAAAAAAGGAUAUUUGAUAUUGUAUGGAGCUGACUUUAUUGCUACUGUAUGUAUGAAAAGAUGGUUUCUUAACAUGUUGGAGCAAUGCGUAAAAUCUUAAAACUGUAUGUAAAUCUCAUGCCAAAAGGGUAUGUCUGACAGUAUUAGCACUUGACUUCAGUGUCUUUAAUAGAUUCAAUUUUUUUAAUUUAAAAAAUAUAUUAAAUUUCUU